RNAcentral lists this ribosomal RNA (440 nucleotides) under uncultured bacterium. Its description in RNAcentral is "partial 16S ribosomal RNA". It matches the Rfam family "Bacterial small subunit ribosomal RNA", at positions 338 to 795 of the family's 1533-position model. The record is from RNAcentral.
CCUACGGGAGGCAGCAGUGGGGGAUAUUGCACAAUGGGGGGAACCCUGAUGCAGCGACGCCGCGUGAAGGAAGAAGUAUCUAGGUAUGUAAACUUUUAUCUGCAGGGAAGAAAAUGACGGUACCUGACUACGAAGCCCCGGCUAAAUACGUGCCAGCAGCCGCGGAAAUCCGUGGGGGGCCCGCGUUAUCCGGAUUUACUGGGUGUAAAGGGAGCGUAGGGGGGUGUCCAAGUCAGACGGUAAAGCCCUGGGGUCAACUCCGGGCCUGCUUUUGAAACUGUACAGCUUGAGUGCAGGAGAGGCAAGUGGAAUGCCUAGUGUAGCGGUGAAAUGCGUAGAUAUUAGGAGGAACACCAAUGGCGAAGGCGGCUUGCUGGACUGUAAAUGACGCUGAGGCUCGAAAGCGUGGGGAGCGAACAGGAUUAGAUACCCUUGUAGUC